UCGGUUCUUUGUAUGAAAUGAAAUAGCGAGUUAAUUAUGUUUGAAGUACAAGCAGAAAUGCAGAAUUCUUCUUCCGAUUGGUUAUGUGAUGUCACUCUCUCAGAUGUUGCAAGUCCAUGGCGUGUUGUCCCGUUGUGAUACUCAAGACGGAGCACCAUGACAGUUGACAGGUCAACAAAAUAUUUUAUCGAGGGAGCAGCGAAAAUGAUGAUAGACCCUGUCUGACUCUGGUUUUUCAAACUAAACCCAUUAAUAUUCAAAACCAUUUCUGGACUCGAAGAUUAUUCCAGUGUUCUCACAUACCUAGGAAGACGAUGAACAAGAAAGUUGUUAUACUUGUAUUGUGCGCACCCCCCCCCCCCAUUUUAAGCUUGGUGGACUGUCAGAAGAACUAUUGUCAUACCAAUCAAAGUGUAUCUAUAGACAGUAGUAAAAAGUUAGACAGUAGUAAAAAGUUGAAGUUGUUUAUUCUCAAGAAACUCCAAUUUGUUCUAAAACAGACUUGCAUCAAUGAACAUUCAUUGUUUAGAAUACAUUCUACAAUCAUCAAACAUAUCCAAUGGAAACUAGAGAGACAAGUAUGCAAUAUAAGAAAGUAUACAAUUUGCUUUUUCUUGAAAUAUAUAAUUGUAAUAAAAAGUUCUAUGAAUUA
Saccostrea echinata is the source of this 652-nucleotide long non-coding RNA. RefSeq lists it as uncharacterized. The record is from RefSeq and is a predicted model, not a curated record. The transcript has 2 exons. NCBI's taxonomy places the organism in Eukaryota, Metazoa, Mollusca, Bivalvia, Ostreida, Ostreidae.